RNAcentral lists this ribosomal RNA (479 nucleotides) under uncultured bacterium. RNAcentral describes it as "partial 16S ribosomal RNA". It matches the Rfam family "Bacterial small subunit ribosomal RNA", at positions 28 to 507 of the family's 1533-position model. The record is from RNAcentral.
GAUGAACGCUGGCGGCGUGCUUAACACAUGCAAGUCGAGCGAGAAGUUUUGAACAGAUUCUUCGGAUGAAAUUUAAAAUGGAAAGCGGCGGACGGGUGAGUAACGCGUAGGCAACCUGCCCCAUACAAAGGGAUAGCAUUUGGAAACGAAUAUUAAUACCUUAUGAAACUUAACUAGUGCAUGCUAGGUAGGUCAAAGAUUUAUCGGUAUGGGAUGGGCCUGCGUCUGAUUAGCUAGUUGGUGAGGUAACGGCUCACCAAGGCGACGAUCAGUAGCCGACCUGAGAGGGUGAACGGCCACAUUGGAACUGAGACACGGUCCAAACUCCUACGGGAGGCAGCAGUGGGGAAAAGUGCACAAGGGGGGAAACCCUGAUGCAGCAACGCCGCGUGAACGAUGAAGGCCUUUGGGUCGUAAAGUUCUGUUCUAGGUGAUGAAAACUGACAGUAACCUAGGAGAAAGCCCCGGCUAACUCCGUG